UAUAUUUGGGUGUUAGAAGCACAGGAAAUUUUGAUUUUCCAAGAUAUGGUUUAAUUCCAUAAAAUAUAA
RNAcentral lists this transfer RNA (69 nucleotides) under Arma custos. Its description in RNAcentral is "tRNA-Gln". RNAcentral also lists the same sequence under 1 other name. The record is from RNAcentral. Lineage: Eukaryota; Metazoa; Arthropoda; Insecta; Hemiptera; Pentatomidae.